RNAcentral lists this ribosomal RNA (157 nucleotides) under Candidozyma auris. RNAcentral describes it as "[Candida] auris 5.8S ribosomal RNA". It matches the Rfam family "5.8S ribosomal RNA". Rfam says of the family: 5.8S ribosomal RNA (5.8S rRNA) is a component of the large subunit of the eukaryotic ribosome. Lineage: Eukaryota; Fungi; Ascomycota; Pichiomycetes; Serinales; Metschnikowiaceae. The record is from RNAcentral.
AACUUUCAACAACGGAUCUCUUGGUUCUCGCAUCGAUGAAGAACGCAGCGAAAUGCGAUACGUAGUAUGACUUGCAGACGUGAAUCAUCGAAUCUUUGAACGCACAUUGCGCCUUGGGGUAUUCCCCAAGGCAUGCCUGUUUGAGCGUGAUGUCUUC